RNAcentral lists this microRNA (19 nucleotides) under Penaeus japonicus. RNAcentral's name for it is "mja-miR-6492". Lineage: Eukaryota; Metazoa; Arthropoda; Malacostraca; Decapoda; Penaeidae. The record is from miRBase by way of RNAcentral.
GUUGACCGAAGCGGAGGAG